AGACGGAGACUUACUCUGUCACCCAGGCUGGAGUACAGUCACACUAUUUCGGCUCACUGAAGCCUCUGCCUCCCGGGUUCAAGCAAUUCUCCUGCCUCAGCCUCCCGAGUAGCUGGGAUUACAGGCAUGCGCCACCACGCCCGGCUAUCUUUUUAUAUUUUUGGUAGACAUGGGGUUUCACCACGUUGGCCAGGCAUGAUGGCACGUGCCUGUGGUCCCAGCUACUCGGGAGUGAGACUCUGUUUAAAACAAACAAACAAACAAACAAAAAAAAACAGAAUAGAAAAAAUUUAAAUGAUCCACUAAAAUGGCGUAAUGUCUUAAACCGGAAGCACAGAGAUAAUCUAUUCCACAUAGGUCAAAUAUCUGAUCCAAGAGGCAUAAACCAAAGGCAGUUUUAUCAGCUAAAUUUGCAGCAGUAAAGGAUAAUUUAGGGAAUGAUUUGAGAGAAUAUCCUACAUUUCUUCAUACAUCCCAACUGCCAUUUUCUAAUGGCAUGGGUUCCAUGAACAGGGAUGCAUAGAAGUCAUUCAAAGAUUUGUUGAAUGAUACUGAAUAUGAAUUUUGCAUGAAAUGGACAGAGAAAAGUAUCUUACAUUUGUCUGAGAACUACCUGUAAUUAAAAGUCAUUGAGAAACAAGGAGAAAGAGAACCAGUUUCUAUAUUACAGAAUUCAGAAAAAACAAACACCAA
Long non-coding RNA from Homo sapiens (human), 693 nucleotides. The record is from Ensembl. Lineage: Eukaryota; Metazoa; Chordata; Mammalia; Primates; Hominidae.